AGAGUUUGAUCCUGGCUCAGAGCGAACGCUGGCGGCAGGCUUAACACAUGCAAGUCGAGCGAGAACCCGCAAGGGGACAGCGGCAAACGGGGUAGUAACGGGUAGGUGACGUACCCUCGGGUCGGGGAUAGCCACGGGAAACUGUGGGUAAUACCCGAUAAUCUCCUGGAGCGUGAUAGCUUCGGGGAGCAAAGGUGAGAUUCCACCUGGGGAGCGGCCUGCUUCGUAUUAGCUAGUUGGUGAGGUAACGGCUCACCAAGGCGACGAUGCGUAGGGGGUGUGAGAGCAUGACCCCCACCACUGGGACUGAGAUACUGCCCAGACACCUACGGGUGGCUGCAGUCGAGAAUCUUCGGCAAUGGGCGCAAGCCUGACCGAGCGACGCCGCGUGUGGGAUGAACGCCCUUGGGUUGUAAACCACUGUCAGAGGGGAUGAAAUGC
RNAcentral lists this ribosomal RNA (441 nucleotides) under uncultured bacterium. Its description in RNAcentral is "bacterial SSU rRNA". It matches the Rfam family "Bacterial small subunit ribosomal RNA", at positions 8 to 453 of the family's 1533-position model. The record is from RNAcentral.